RNAcentral lists this long non-coding RNA (1362 nucleotides) under Cyanistes caeruleus (blue tit). RNAcentral describes it as "lncRNA (ENSCCEG00000016348.1)". Lineage: Eukaryota; Metazoa; Chordata; Aves; Passeriformes; Paridae. The record is from RNAcentral.
GUGAGAGUAGCCCAAGCGUGGUAGGUCUGUGUGUGUACGUACCACAGAAACCACAGAAACCACAGAAACCACAGAAACCUUCCUGUUUUGCAGCUGUCAUGCAGAGCACAGUCUUACGAGAGACUCAGACAGGAUUGCCAGUAAUGGUGCCCACGUGUUGUUGCAUGGAGAUGGAUCCUCAGGGCCUGCAGUGGGUCACUCUGAACAGAAGAUCCCUGCUCCUGGUAGCACACACUGCAAAACCCUUUCUGUAUGAGGUGAAUGCAGGUAAACCUGAAGUUUGUGGAGGUGUAUCUGAGAAAUUCGGACAUCGCCAGGACAUGACAGCUUUCUUGCAGGAAGGAUCUGAGGAAUCUGAGUGACCAAACACUAAAGUGACCGAUGAAGUCCCAUUCUGCACACGAAGUAUUGCCAAAGACAAAACUAACGUUUAAACAAGUAGUUUACAGCAAACAGAGUAAGUACUUCUUCACACUGUGCCUAAUUACAUUAUGAAACUGGUUAUUACAAGGAUCUGUGAAGACCAACAGUGUAAAUAGUUUCAAGUAAUGAGUGAGGAAGUUACAAGUAGAAAGAAGUAAAAGGAAGUGACUUUUGACUUUGGAGAGCCAAGCACAUAUUGAGAUUAUCCUGGUUGACAUGGAACAUAACAUGAAUACUCACUGAGUCUCAUUCCUGCUCAUGUUCCAGGAAAUGGUGCCUAUUGCCAGAGACAGCAUGCAAAGUAUUAGGAAGAUAAACCAGAACCAGACUUGUGAUUUAAUAAGGUCACAAAUCAAUCAGUGAAUUGACUGUCACUUAGAAACAAGGUAGAGCUCUCUUGUAAGAUCUAGCUUCAAAUGCGAGCUGGAACAUCCCUUCUUCUUCACUACACUCAGAGAGAUUUUAUUCCAAGUCUUGUUAUAUUAGCCCAGUGUCUUAAUGUCCUCUGAGUUUGAACAUAAUCCUAAAAGAUAAACAAAAUCACAAGGACCCAACUUUUCAAGAAAUUCAGCUGACAUCUAGCUAUCAAGUGCUGUCCAGAUUGUAAAAACAGAGUUAGUAGGUAUUAAUCCUUUGACUAAUCAAGAUAUGUACUAUGGAAAGGAAUUUUUGCAUACUUCCUAAUUUUAUUUUUGUCAAAUGAGGAAAAAUUGUAUUUAAUAAGUUUAUUUGUUAGCCUUUAUAAUGUGCCAUUCCUGACAAAUACCAUCAUGUCACCAUUUAUGUAGUGACUUCUAAACUGAAGACUGUCCCAAUAUGAAAUUCACUAGGCUACAUGCUGUAGUUACACUCUGAACAAAGAAGUAAAAUAGUUUGUAUAACUGUAUCAUUCCAGUCUGAUAGUCCAGUCCUCAGAGGUGAUCAAGUAUUUACCGUUGA